AGAUAGAGGCGCGGCGUUCAUCAGUAAGCUCCUGCCGGGAAGCAGCUUUCGUGGGAGCUGAAAGGGAACAUCGCCGAAGUGGGAAAGCGUAGCUGCAUGUUUUCCUGCUGGGCCGUCGGAGAAGAUCCGUCGGACUGUCACGCGAGUGGAGCGCUAUCGA
Molecule: non-coding RNA, 160 nt
Filed under: bovine gut metagenome
Description: Lysine riboswitch
Rfam family: Lysine riboswitch aptamer
About the family: Riboswitches are metabolite binding domains within certain messenger RNAs that serve as precision sensors for their corresponding targets.
Source: RNAcentral